CUAAUACAUGCAAGAUCAGAGCGGACCGACGGGAGCUUGCUCCCUUAGGUCAGCGGCGGACGGGUGAGUAACACGUGGGUAACCUGCCUGUAAGACUGGGAUAACUCCGGGAAACCGGGGCUAAUACCGGAUGCUUGAUUGAACCGCAUGGUUCCAAUCAUAAAAGGUGGCUUUUAGCUACCACUUACAGAUGGACCCGCGGCGCAUUAGCUAGUUGGUGAGGUAACGGCUCACCAAGGCGACGAUGCGUAGCCGACCUGAGAGGGUGAUCGGCCACACUGGGACUGAGACACGGCCCAGACUCCUACGGGAGGCAGCAGUAGGGAAUCUUCCGCAAUGGACGAAAGUCUGACGGAGCAACGCCGCGUAAGUGAUGAAGGUUUUCGGAUCGUAAAACUCUGUUGUUAGGGAAGAACAAGUACCGUUCGAAUAGGGCGGCACCUUGACGGUACCUAACCAGAAAGCCACGGCUAACUACGUGCCAGCAGCCGCGGUAAUACGUAGGUGGCAAGCGUUGUCCGGAAUUAUUGGGCGUAAAGCGCGCG
This 545-nucleotide ribosomal RNA is filed under the name uncultured Bacilli bacterium. RNAcentral's name for it is "bacterial SSU rRNA". It matches the Rfam family "Bacterial small subunit ribosomal RNA", at positions 48 to 571 of the family's 1533-position model. Lineage: Bacteria; Bacillati; Bacillota; Bacilli. The record is from RNAcentral.